UACGUAGGGACCAAGCGUUGUUCGGAUUUACUGGGCGUAAAGGGCGCGUAGGCGGCAAUUCAAGUCAGCUGUGAAAUCUCCGAGCUUAACUCGGAACGGUCAGCUGAUACUGCUUUGCUAGAGUACAGAAGGGGCAAUCGGAAUUCUUGGUGUAGCGGUGAAAUGCGUAGAUAUCAAGAGGAACACCUGAGGUGAAGACGGGUUGCUGGGCUGAUACUGACGCUGAGGCGCGAAAGCGUGGGGAGCAAACAGG
RNAcentral lists this ribosomal RNA (253 nucleotides) under uncultured bacterium. RNAcentral describes it as "partial 16S ribosomal RNA". It matches the Rfam family "Bacterial small subunit ribosomal RNA", at positions 524 to 776 of the family's 1533-position model. The record is from RNAcentral.